CUUAUAAGGCAGCAGCACAUGGUGAAGUUUUCUGUGCCUGUCUCUGCUCCAGCUCUGCUUCUCUUGCAGUCAGCUGGAGCUUCAAAGGCUACAGUAUCUGCUCUUCAAAGGCAGUAUAGGCUCUUUGGAAAUCUGGCCCCACCCCCUCAGCCUUGCAAGGGGAGAGGUUGAGGCCUUACUUGAAGUUACUGCCUAUCUGGCGAUCCUGCUGGGCUGGCUACUGCUCGUGCAUUGUUGAAGUACGGUCUUUCUCCACAAUGGGGACAAAAGCAGGAAGCAAGCAACCUCAGCAAGUCCCUCAAAUAUGUAGCUUGGAGCAUGCAUGCACCUGAGGAAGCUAUUUGGGGAAACGGGGUCUUACUGGCUUACCAUCACGCAAAACUUCCAUUCAAGGGACUUUGGACUCUUUUGGACUUUGGAUUGAGCAUAAAGCUCCACGGAGCCAUCAGAAUUUUAUAAUUUUGAGUCCUCAAGAGUCUAUUGGAAAUGGAGUGGACACUCUUCAUGAUCUGCUUAAAGUGCUUUUGAAUGAGUCAGCAUGUGCAAUUAAAUGUGUCUAUGAAUUUA
This is a long non-coding RNA of Heteronotia binoei (common prickly gecko), 567 nucleotides long. RefSeq lists it as uncharacterized. NCBI's taxonomy places the organism in Eukaryota, Metazoa, Chordata, Lepidosauria, Squamata, Gekkonidae. The record is from RefSeq and is a predicted model, not a curated record. The transcript is spliced from 3 exons.